AGUGAACGCUGGCGGUAGGCCUAACACAUGCAAGUCGAACGGCAGCACAGAGGAGCUUGCUCCUUGGGUGGCGAGUGGCGGACGGGUGAGGAAUACAUCGGAAUCUACUCUGUCGUGGGGGAUAACGUAGGGAAACUUACGCUAAUACCGCAUACGACCUACGGGUGAAAGCAGGGGACCUUCGGGCCUUGCGCGAUUGAAUGAGCCGAUGUCGGAUUAGCUAGUUGGCGGGGUAAAGGCCCACCAAGGCGACGAUCCGUAGCUGGUCUGAGAGGAUGAUCAGCCAAACUGGAACUGAGACACGGUCCAGACUCCUACGGGAGGCAGCAGUGGGGAAUAUUGGACAAUGGGCGCAAGCCUGAUCCAGCCAUACCGCGUGGGUGAAGAAGGCCUUCGGGUUGUAAAGCCCUUUUGUUGGGAAAGAAAUCCAGCUGGCUAAUACCCGGUUGGGAUGACGGUACCCAAAGAAUAAGCACCGGCUAACUUCGUGCCAGCAGCCGCGGUAA
This 506-nucleotide ribosomal RNA is filed under the name uncultured bacterium. RNAcentral's name for it is "partial 16S ribosomal RNA". It matches the Rfam family "Bacterial small subunit ribosomal RNA", at positions 29 to 523 of the family's 1533-position model. The record is from RNAcentral.